GUUUGAUCAUGGCUCAGGAUGAACGCUGGCGGCGUGCCUAAUACAUGCAAGUCGAACGAAGAACUCUUGGUACUUGUAUCAGGAGUUUCUUAGUGGCGAACGGGUGAGUAACGCGUUGGUGACCUGCCCCGAAGCGGGGAAUAACAGAUCGAAAGAUCUGCUGAUACCCCAUGUCGUCAUCGAGUUUAGAAAUCGAUGAUCAAAGGGGUAAUCCGCUUUGGGAGGGGCCUGCGUCCCAUCAGCUAGUUGGUAGGGUAAUGGCCUACCAAGGCUUCGACGGGUAAGGGGCCUGAGAGGGUGGCCCCUCACAAUGGAACUGAAACACGGUCCAUACACCUACGGGUGGCAGCAGUAGGGAAUAUUGCACAAUGGGCGAAAGCCUGAUGCAGCAACGCCGCGUGUACGAUGAAGGUCUUCGGAUCGUAAAGUACUUUUCAGGGAGAUGAGAAAGGACAGUAUCCCUGGAAUAAGUCUCGGCUAACUACGUGCCAGCAGCCGCGGUAAAACGUAGGAGGCGAGCGUUAUCCGGAUUUACUGGGUGUAAAGCGCGUGCAGGCGGUUCGGUAAGUUGGAUGUGAAAGCUCCUGGCUCAACUGGGAGAGGUCGUUCAAUACUAUCGGACUAGAGAGUGGUAGAGGAAGGUGGAAUUCCCGGUGUAGUGGUGAAAUGCGUAGAUAUCGGGAGGAACACCAGUGGCGAAAGCGGCCUUCUGGACCAUUUCUGACGCUCAGACGCGAAAGCUAGGGUAGCAAACGGGAUUAGAGACCCCGGUAGUCCUAGCUGUAAACGAUGUGAACUUGGCGUCGGCGGUGUAAAAACUGUCGGUGCCGAAGCUUAC
RNAcentral lists this ribosomal RNA (838 nucleotides) under uncultured bacterium. RNAcentral's name for it is "bacterial SSU rRNA". It matches the Rfam family "Bacterial small subunit ribosomal RNA", at positions 11 to 856 of the family's 1533-position model. The record is from RNAcentral.